RNAcentral lists this unclassified non-coding RNA (390 nucleotides) under soil metagenome. RNAcentral's name for it is "partial contains 5.8S ribosomal RNA, internal transcribed spacer 2, and large subunit ribosomal RNA". The stretch from base 1 to 122 matches the Rfam family "5.8S ribosomal RNA", at positions 35 to 154 of the family's 154-position model. The record is from RNAcentral.
GAUGAAGAACGCAGUGAAAUGCGAUACUUGGUGUGAAUUGCAGAAUCCCGUGAACCAUCGAGUCUUUGAACGCAAGUUGCGCCCGAAGCCAUUAGGCCGAGGGCACGCCUGCCUGGGCGUCACACGUCGUUGCCCCCCCAUCUACUCCUUCGGGAUUGCGGGGGGCGGAUGAUGGCCUCCCGUGCGCCUCGUCGCGCGGUUGGCAUAAAUGCCAAGUCCUCGGCGACGCACGCCACGACAAUCGGUGGUUGCGAAACCUCGGUUGCCCGUCGUGUGCGGUCGUCGCGCAUCGAGGGCUCGAAAAAAUUGUCGGGCUCCGGCUCGGCUUUCAACGCGACCCCAGGUCAGGCGGGGUUACCCGCUGAAUUUAAGCAUAUCAAUAAGCGGAGA